Molecule: ribosomal RNA, 253 nt
Filed under: uncultured bacterium
Lineage: Bacteria
Description: partial 16S ribosomal RNA
Rfam family: Bacterial small subunit ribosomal RNA
Source: RNAcentral
UACGAAGGGGGCUAGCGUUGUUCGGAAUCACUGGGCGUAAAGCGCAUGCAGGCGGACUGAUCAGUCGGGGGUGAAAGCCCGGGGCUCAACCUCGGAACUGCCUUCGAUACUGUCAGUCUUGAGUCCGGGAGAGGUGAGUGGAAUUCCUAGUGUAGAGGUGAAAUUCGUAGAUAUUAGGAAGAACACCAGUGGCGAAGGCGACUCACUGGCCCGGUACUGACGCUCAGAUGCGAAAGCGUGGGGAGCAAACAGG